This is a long non-coding RNA of Brassica napus (rape), 3406 nucleotides long. RefSeq lists it as uncharacterized. The transcript is spliced from 11 exons. The record is from RefSeq and is a predicted model, not a curated record. Lineage: Eukaryota; Viridiplantae; Streptophyta; Magnoliopsida; Brassicales; Brassicaceae.
AAGGGCAAUUAAAAACUAUUGACGAUAAAGAUUCAUUUUUUUUAAAGAAGAUAUACAAUAAAUUAAAAGAGAAUAUCCUCAACAGAGAAGCAUGUCACGUCGUUUAAUUAAAUCGACCAAUAAAAAUGUUCCUUUGUGCCAGGUCAGCUCUUCUAAAGCUGCAAUUUGCAACUCGAAAAUGACCUAAAGUGAGAUUCUACGGUUGGGUUCGCUUGCUAAGCCCACUAAACAGAAACCCCUAACAUCCUAUAGCCGUCCAACGAAUCUCUCCAUCCUCUUCGUCUUCUCCGUUUUCUCUACUUGCGAUCUCCAUUACUGAGCCUUCUCUGCCAUCAAUCAAUUGUUCUCUUUAAUACACACUUCAUGUCUUUCGUUUCACCUCCCUCUCUAUCUCCUUAUUUUAUAAACUACUUCGUCUUCCAGUCAAAACCGAAGAGCUCCUCUUUUUUUUUUUGUGAUCAACUUUCCAGGGUACGACCGAAGAACUCCUCUCAAUAAGCUGAAUCCAUGGCGGUGAACCCAACAGGAAAACAUGUCUCCAUCUCACCAGGGCUAUACGGUUCCGAGCUACGCCUCCGACUGUUACAUUUCUUGAAGUGAGGAACAAAAUACGAGAACUAAAGGUUGCAAACAGAAAGGAAAUUCGAAGCAAACAUCAAAUAAUUAGCAAGAAGAGAGGAACAAAUGUAUCGACAGCACUGGCGGUGAGUAUUCAUGGAGGGAUUAGUCGUACCAGAGAGAUGUGGAACGAUAUACUAAAAAUAGGUCCAAGUCCAACCAAAAAUCAAGGUGGUCUUCUUCGUCUUGAAGUUCAGACACUAAGCCAACAGAGUAAAGAAAGGACUGAAGCAAGGUACCAGAAGAGCAAGGAUUGCAAAAAAAAAAAGUUAACGCCUUGCUUCAGUGGUCUUCUUCGUCUUGAAGUUCAGACACUAAGCCAACAGAGUAAAUAAAGGACUUAAGCAAGGCUUUCCUCCCAACAAUUGACUGUCGUAUACAAGCUGUAAUCUCACAUUAUUUAUUUUCCUUCGUCAAGCAAUCUCGCAUUGUUUAUGACAAAAAAAUUGUGAAGAUUUUUUGGCAUCACUGUUGAAGACAAGGAGGGAAUAAAGCAAUUGCAUGGCAUAACUCAUGGGGUCUCAAUACCAGAUUGAUUAGAGUUAUGUUUAUGAAUCAUGGAGAUGACAAAGACUUAGCAUUUCCUCCAAAAGUUGCAAAUCAAGUAGUUGAUCCCAAGGUAAAGCUGUGUGGAAUCAAACGAAAGGGUCAAUAAGCUGCGAUAUUUAUAUUAACAGUCGUUGGCUUGGAUUACAGGUAUAUCCAGUGAUGUGUUGUUAAGCUUCCAAAACAUUACAAAACUCUUAUAUUUAGGAUGUAAUCCGACGUUUGUAAUUCAAGAAUAUUGAUAUCACUUUGUAUGUCGAAACUGAUAAAGACCAUGUGCUAAAUCCGCUGCUUUCUGUUCAUUUGCAUUUUUAGUUCAUCCCAAUGCCUUUGAUUAUUGCGUAUUUUGGAUCAAUAUAUAGAAAUUCAUAUUCGAUAUCUAAUUCACAUUUUAAGUUCCAUUUUGGUCAAUGUGCUUUCUGAGUUUCUUAUAAUUGUAAAACAAAUCAUCGAGCUUUGAUUUAAGGAGACUAUUGAGUUUAUAUACCAUUUGUGUUAGUUAUUUUUGUGUAUAAUGAGUUUUUAAUAUAUCAUCUCUUCUGUUACUUGAAACUUAAAGGUGGUCUUCUUCGUCUUGAAGUUCAGACACUAAGCCAACAGAGUAAAGAAAGGACUGAAGCAAGGUACCAGAAGAGCAAGGAUUGCAAAAAAAAAAAGUUAACACCUUGCUUCAGUGGUCUUCCUCGUCUUGAAGUUCAGGCACUAAGCCAACAGAGUAAAUAAAGGACUGAAGCAAGGUACCAGAAGAGCAAGGAUUGCCAAAAAAAAAGUCAACGUCUUGCUUCAGCUUUCCUCCCAACAAUUGGCUGUCGUAUACAAGCUGUAAUCUCACAUUAUUUAUUUUUCUUCGUCAAGCAAUCUCGCAUUGUUUAUGACAAAAAAAUUGUGAAGAUUUUUUGGCAUCACCGUUGAAGACAAGGAGGGCAUAAAGCAAUUGCAUGGCAUAACUCAUGGGGUCUCAAUACCAGAUUGAUUAGAGUUACGUUUAUGAAUCAUGGAGAUGACAAAAACUUAGCAUUUCCUCCAAAAGUUGCAAAUCAAGUAGUUGAUCCCAAGGUAAAGCUGUGUGGAAUCAAACGAAAGGGUCAAUAAACUGCGAUAUUUAUACUAACAGUCGUUGGCUUGGAUUACAGGUGGUCUUCUUCGUCUUGAAGUUCAGAGACUAAGCCAACAGAGUAAAGAAAGGACUGAAGCAAGGUACCAGAAGAGCAAGGAUUGCAAAAAAAAAAAGUUAACGCCUUGCUUCAGCACUAAGCCAACAGAGUAAAUAAAGGACUGAAGCAAGGUACUAGAAGAGCAAGGAUUGCAAAAAAAAAAGUCAACGUCUUGCUUCAGCUUUCCUCCCAACAAUUGGCUGUCGUAUACAAGUUGUAAUCUCACAUUAUUUCUUUUUCUUCGUCAAGCAAUCUCGCAUUGUUUAUGACAAAAAAAUUGUGAAGAUUUUUUGGCAUCACCGUUGAAGACAAGGAGGGCAUAAAGCAAUUGCAUGGCAUAACUCAUGGGGUCUCAAUACCAGAUUGGUAAUUGUUUAAUCUUAGUGUGAUUUAUUUUGCUUUGACGUUUUUGGUAAUGUUAUUUUCUCUAAUAUCAAAAUUGGGUUCAUGUAACAUAGAUUAGAGUUAUGUUUAUGAAUCAUGGAGAUGACAAAGACUUAGCAUUUCCUCCAAAAGUUGCAAAUCAAGUAGUUGAUCCCAAUUUCCUUUAAAGAUAUUGUCUCGGAAGCAUUUUUGAUGUGUGUGAAACUAUUGAAUCCACCUUGCUUGGGACUUGAAACCAUGCUAAAAUAGGGUUUUACGACAACUUUUAUUGCCAUUGGAAGUAUUCAGAUCGGGGAACUAGAAGGUGUUCCAAUGGGAGUUGAAAAUGGUCCAAGAGAUUUGGCUAAAAAUUAGGCCAGCCGUAUCUCAUAGUAUGUGUGUAGGCUAACAGUUUCUUAGAUUCUUGGGAACAGCUGAGAUGGAUUUCAUGAGAGAAGACUUCACUACAAAAUCAAGGACUUUCUGGAAAAAGAGAAAGAUCGAAGAAACCACUCAAAGGUAAAACUAGGUGGAUUUUGUCGAAGCUUUGAGCUAAAGAGAAAUUAUUUUUUUCUGACUUGAGCCAAAAAAUCACAUUGGAAGAGCUUCUUGACGAGGAAGAAAUUAUUCAAGAAUGCUAAGGAAGAGCCGACUCAUACAUUUAUAUUUGUUCUGAUUUUUUUUUCGAUACAUCAUUCACAUUUCUUAGAAAAAGUUUCUGACUA